RNAcentral lists this unclassified non-coding RNA (947 nucleotides) under Shewanella putrefaciens. The stretch from base 214 to 287 matches the Rfam family "tRNA". Lineage: Bacteria; Pseudomonadati; Pseudomonadota; Gammaproteobacteria; Alteromonadales; Shewanellaceae. The record is from RNAcentral.
CCUAUACGACUAACUCGAUGCUUGGUCGAAAAAUGCUCCUGCAUUUUCGACAUUCGGUACAUCCGUGUACCUUUUGAGUGUUCACACAGAUUUGCUUGAUAGAAGAAAGAGUAAAAGAUGGGUCUGUAGCUUAACUGGUUAGCACCCCAAUCCCCUCAUAAAGAGUAGGGUGAGGUCGGUGGUUCUGGAUGGUUGUAGAUUUAUCAAUAAGAUGGGUCUGUAGCUCAGCUGGUUAGAGCGCACCCCUGAUAAGGGUGAGGUCGGUGGUUCAAGUCCACUCUGACCCACCAAUCCUUCCUUCUCAGCGUUGGAAAGUGACUCGUUUAGUGAACUAAACGUCGCCACUGUCCGCCUUGAUAAGAAAUGAUUGGCAAACCAAUCCUUUAAGAGGUUUGGAACAUCUUAUUUACUCGCACUGCAUGUAAAUGGGGCUAUAGCUCAGCUGGGAGAGCGCCUGCCUUGCACGCAGGAGGUCUGCGGUUCGAUCCCGCAUAGCUCCACCAUUUACUGCAUUAUGGUUAGAGAUGCCAAAGAUAAACUGAAAAAUUAUCUUUGGCUUUUUUAAGCCCGCUCUUUAACAAUUUGGAAAGCUGAUAGUAUUAAACACAAUGAUGUCCUGUCGUUGUGUUGAUACGAAAAAAGAUUAAUGCGAAAGCAUUGAACAUUGAGUUCUCAAACACUUUAUUAAGUGUCUUGAAUAUUCAAGUCUAAGGCGCGUCCACUUCUUUGGUCAGAAGUGAGACAAGUAAAACUAAGCUGGUCGCAAUACAAUUCGAUAUGUGUUUUUUCUUAUUUCGAUAAGAUAAGCGCAGCCAAUCGCUUGUUAGGCAAGGCCGUAAGUUGAAUGACGAAUGAGUGUAGCAGCGCUACAUGAUUGAGGAAUGAGACUUGCAACGCCGCAUAACAAGAGGAGUGGCAAGCGAAAAAGAAACCUAUCUGGGUUGUAU